Molecule: ribosomal RNA, 253 nt
Filed under: uncultured bacterium
Lineage: Bacteria
Description: partial 16S ribosomal RNA
Rfam family: Bacterial small subunit ribosomal RNA
Source: RNAcentral
UACAGAGGGUGCGAGCGUUAAUCGGAAUUACUGGGCGUAAAGCGCGCGUAGGCGGCCCGGUAAGUCCGCUCUGAAAGUCCAGGGCUUAACCCUGGAAAGCGGGUGGAUACUGCCGGGCUUGAAUCCGGAAGAGGCGAGUGGAAUUCCUGGUGUAGCGGUGGAAUGCGCAGAUAUCAGGAGGAACACCAAUAGCGAAGGCAGCUCGCUGGGACGGUAUUGACGCUAAGGCGCGAAAGCGUGGGGAGCAAACAGG